Oreochromis niloticus (Nile tilapia) is the source of this 1957-nucleotide long non-coding RNA. NCBI's taxonomy places the organism in Eukaryota, Metazoa, Chordata, Actinopteri, Cichliformes, Cichlidae. The record is from Ensembl.
UGUGCAAGAUAAUUAUUUGCAUCCAGUGGUGAACCAAGUAACCAACCACAGUAGGAAGUAUAGAUUCGCCUAAUUGUGCUGCUGAUAUUCUCUAUAAACUCUCUAUCUAUAAACUAUUUACAUUAAUGUUUGUGCAUAAUGGCUACCUCUGUCUGAUGAAGACACUAGCAGAUAGUCAAUUUGCCAGCAGGUUUGUGUGCACUGGAAACAUUAAUUCAUGUAUCAUGUCUGUCACCAAAACAGAUCUCUGCAGAUCCUGAAGUCGAACUCCCAGUGACCCCAUGCAUCCUAAUCAGAGGUUUGUAGUUAAAUCUUUUUUUGUAUCCCAGCAAGCUGUUGUUAGCUGUUGUUAUAAGCUGUUGUUGUGUCAUAUUUAUUAAAGAAAUGUUUUGCUUGCCUUAAAAUAUAGGAUUUUUUUUUUUUUGUAAAUCGUACAUGGUUUUUAUCUGUGUUUAAGGUGACCAGCAAUUCAAGAUUGCUGUUGAUGGGUUACUUGUCAAUGACCACAUCACCUCUCCCAUUGUGGCCUUGAGCUACGUCUUCUCCAUGUUUUAUGUCUGCAACGUCCAAUACCCACCGGAGAUGGCUUUUACUCUCGAAUUCAUGCAAAGAGUUUUCUUUGGGGUCAAUCCUGAGCGAGGCUCCAAGGCAGAGAAGAAGGGGAAGAAACGGCACUUCAUUCCUCCACAGGUGUGCAAGCUGGUUUCUCAGCUGAAGGAAUUUGAAUGCAAGCAGAAGGAAUCUGAAUGGGCCAUUUGAGCUGUUCUCAGAGCUCAGAAAAUACCUUUUUGGACUGAAUGUACACACACACACACACACACAAAGGCAAAUCCAAAAACAUGGGGCUUGGGAGUAGAAAUACAGAUUUUUACAGUAUUAGGUGAGUUCAGAUGUUUUAACUAGAUGCCCACAACACACAUGCUGCAGUUUCAAAUCCCCCAUGUUAAGGGGGAGGGAAGGUGGGCGAUAUUUGUCAUUCCGGUUAAGCUUUUCCUGUCAUUGUGGAGUUGAAGGUGUAAGUUUUAAUUUUUUUUUAGUUUUAAGUUGUUUUAAGAGUUUUAAAAAUCUCUUUAUGGCAUGUUGCACAGUCAUCCUUCUAAAGUCAUGGUUGUUAUUGCUGCACUGAUGUUUUAUAGAAAAGUUGUAUAAUGUAAUACUUCUAAUGUUCUAUUUGUUUUUUGUAGAAAGGUCAGCCACUGGUUGCAGAGCUCUGCCUGUCGGUGUGAUAUGUGGAGUUGGAGGUGUAGGUUUCUGCAUCCUCCUGGAGGGGGCUCCUCAUUUUGCACUGACAGGUGAGACAGCAACAGCAAUGCUGGCAAUUUUAUUGUCUUAUUUUGUCAUUGUCUUUAACAAAUCAAUUUGUUAUUAAUGCCUGUCAGCCUGUGGAUGCUAAAAGGUUGCUAGAUUUGGCAUCUCCCUGUUAAAGGACAUGGCUGUACUUCUUUGAGAGAACAGCUGGUUUAUGUAUGUAAAAUUUCUCUGAAUGUGAAGGUGAUGUUCUGAAUGUUUUAAUGGUUGUAAUGUAAAUAUUGCAAAUCAUUCACCACAAAAAGUGAAAUCACUUUAAAGCACUGGCAGCUGUUAAAGGAAAUAAAUAAUUGCUGUGAUUCUACAUUUGUGCUUUAUUGAUGGUAAACGGUAUAGAGAAUGGUACAGAAUUAAACAUUUUAGGAUGACUGAAGUGUCCGUAAAUGGUAUGGAUUGAGUACUUAAAUAAUACGGAAUAUUCCAUUUUAGGUUUGAUGGAACUGUCCAUAAAUGGUAAAGAAAAAGUCAGGUAAAUCUACGGAAAUAUCUGUUAUAGGGUUUACGGAAUUGUCUGUGCAAUAACGCCGAAAUUUAUGGAAAAUACGGAAUUUUCCAUUUUAGGUUUGACGGAAAUGUCCGUCAAUGGUACAGAAAAACUCGGGUAAAUCUACAGAAAUAUCCGUUUUAAGGUUUACGGAAGUGCUCGUAC